RNAcentral lists this ribosomal RNA (442 nucleotides) under uncultured bacterium. Its description in RNAcentral is "partial 16S ribosomal RNA". It matches the Rfam family "Bacterial small subunit ribosomal RNA", at positions 338 to 795 of the family's 1533-position model. The record is from RNAcentral.
CCUACGGGUGGCAGCAGUGGGGAAUAUUGGGCAAUGGGCGCAAGCCUGACCCAGCAACGCCGCGUGAAGGAAGAAGGCUUUCGGGUUGUAAACUUCUUUUCUCAGGGACGAAGCAAGUGACGGUACCUGAGGAAUAAGCCACGGCCAACUACGUGCCAGCAGCCGCGGUAAUACGUAGGUGGCAAGCGUUAUCCGGAUUUACUGGGUUUAAAGGGUGCGCAGGCGGGCCUUUAAGCCGGCGGUGAAAUCGCGGGGCUCAACCCCGCCGUGCCGUCGGAACUGGGGGCCUUGAGUGCGGCGGAGGCAUGCGGAAUGCGCGGUGUAGCGGUGAAAUGCAUAGAUAUCGCGCAGAACCCCGAUUGCGAAGGCAGCGUGCCGUGCCGCAACUGACGCUGAGGCACGAAAGCGCGGGGAUCGAACAGGAUUAGAUACCCGUGUAGUC